UGCCAGUUAGAGACUGGUACUGGUGCCAGUUAGAGACUGGUACUGGUGCCAGUUAGAGACUGGUGCUGGUGCC
Turdus rufiventris (rufous-bellied thrush) is the source of this 73-nucleotide non-coding RNA. The record is from the annotation of a GenBank genome assembly. Lineage: Eukaryota; Metazoa; Chordata; Aves; Passeriformes; Turdidae.